Helicoverpa zea (corn earworm) is the source of this 674-nucleotide long non-coding RNA. RefSeq lists it as uncharacterized. The record is from RefSeq and is a predicted model, not a curated record. NCBI's taxonomy places the organism in Eukaryota, Metazoa, Arthropoda, Insecta, Lepidoptera, Noctuidae. The transcript has 2 exons.
GCAGUCAGUACACCGCACGCCACGCUCGGGAACACAGUGCGGCGACGCUGCUGCGCGUAUUUAUGUUAAAAAAUGCCAAAUAAGUAUCAGAGAAAAGCCUUAGCCAAUCGUGGUUUUUGGAGUGAAGAUUCACAAAAAAAAAAUGGUUAAACCCAAAGAUAAGAAGACUGAUACAAAUAAGAAUAGAAAACGGAAAGCUGUAAGGCGUAUUAUCGAAAGUCGUUCUGAUCGGAGUGAACCAGUAUUGUGUGAUGCAUCUGAUGAAGAAGAUAAAGAAAACGAAGCAGAUAACUGCGCUGGAUGCGGAGAAAAUUAUUAUAAGACUCGUCUUGUGGAAGAGUGGCUCCAGUGUCUUAUUUGUGACAGGUGAAUACAUGAAAACUGUACCGAGUUUGAUGAUAUGUGCUCCAAAUGUGGACAGAAGAAGAAAAAAGAUGCUAAACAAGCCGAAUUUCAGGACAAGGGAAGGGAAAAGGGAAGUCAAGUACUGGUCAUCUAUCCCGUAUAGCUAUGGCCAACUUACCCUGAAGCCCCGGGAGAGAUGGCCAAUUCUACUUUUUUUUAGAAAUUGUUUUUUAAUAUGUUUUUGAAUUAUAAAAAAAUAUUUGUCGUUGAUUUUUACAAGACUAAUAACUGUUAAUUAUGAUAAGAAUAAAAGACUGGUUGUAACAACA